RNAcentral lists this ribosomal RNA (482 nucleotides) under uncultured bacterium. RNAcentral describes it as "partial 16S ribosomal RNA". It matches the Rfam family "Bacterial small subunit ribosomal RNA", at positions 28 to 507 of the family's 1533-position model. The record is from RNAcentral.
GACGAACGCUGGCGGCGUGCUUAACACAUGCAAGUCGAACGAUGAAGAAGAGAAACGCGAACUUCGGUUCAAAUUUCACUUCGGAUUAGUGGCAGACGGGUGAGUAACGCGUGAGCAACCUACCUCUUACAAAGGGAUAGCCUCGGGAAACCGUGAUUAAUACCAUAUGACACAUUCAUAAGGCAUCUUAAGAAUGUUAAAGCUACGGCGGUAAGAGAUGGGCUCGCGUCCCAUUAGCUAGUUGGUGAGGUAAAGGCCCACCAAGGCGACGAUGGGUAACCGGCCUGAGAGGGUGAACGGUCACAUUGGAACUGAGACACGGUCCAAACUCCUACGGGAGGCAGCAGUGGGGAAUAUUGCACAAUGGAGGGAACUCUGAUGCAGCGACGCCGCGUGAGCGAUGAAGGAAUUCGUUUCGUAAAGCUCUGUUCUAUGGGAAGAAAAGGACUGUACCAUAGGAGAAAGCCCCGGCUAAAUACGUG